Molecule: long non-coding RNA, 694 nt
Organism: Marmota monax (woodchuck)
Lineage: Eukaryota; Metazoa; Chordata; Mammalia; Rodentia; Sciuridae
Exons: 4
Source: RefSeq, a predicted model, not a curated record
UCCCCCCACCCCAGUUUGGAUCCCCAAGAGUCCUCUGUGGCUGGCUCCAGUGGCGUGAUAUCAGUGCCAGGGCACACCCAGGCCCGUCCCGUCAGAACAAUAUUAUCUGUCCUAGCUGCUCUGUGCUGAGCGCCUUCUCCAAGCUGGCACUGCGCGCUGGGGUUUCCUUAAGAGACCUCCACGGAGCCCGUGCACACACCCCUGUUUAGCAGGUGGGGAGACGGAGGCUCAGAGAUGCAAACCAACUGGCCCCGGCCAGGGUGCAGCCGAGAUCCCAGCCUGCCUGACCGGAAACACGCCACCUCUGCACCCUGCAUCCGAGCUCAGCCAUACGAAGCUGUGAAUCUGAGUGUCUGUUCAGCAGGAAGAAAGGUGGACUCUUACACCAGGUCCCUGUCACUCAGGCCCCAAGCAAAAGAUGGUUGCCAGCCUGGCAGCUCCUUUGAGGUCUCCUCUACCACCGUUCUCAGGAUGUAUCUGCUGAAUCCAUGCUGAAUGGAUGAGCCAGACGUCUCUGGAAGUCAAUGCUGACAUCCAGACACUCUCAGGACCCCCUCAGAAAUAAGGUGUUUCAUGGACACGUGACCCGACAUGUCUUUGAUGUUCAUCAGGCUUCCCAGAGUCCUGCUCAUGUCCAGGUACUGCAAGGAGAGCCAAGGGGCCUCAGGGGCGGUGCCCGGCCCCCAGCUGCUCC